Molecule: ribosomal RNA, 253 nt
Filed under: uncultured bacterium
Lineage: Bacteria
Also listed under: 1 other name
Description: partial 16S ribosomal RNA
Rfam family: Bacterial small subunit ribosomal RNA
Source: RNAcentral
UACGGAGGAUCCAAGCGUUAUCCGGAUUUAUUGGGUUUAAAGGGUGCGUAGGCGGAUUAUUAAGUCAGUGUUGAAAGGCUAAAGCUUAACUUUAGAAGUGGCAUUGAUACUGGUAGUCUUGAGUACAGAUGAAGUGGGCGGAAUGUGUCAUGUAGCGGUGAAAUGCAUAGAUAUGACACAGAACACCGAUUGCGAAGGCAGCUCACUAAGUUGUAACUGACGCUGAGGCACGAAAGCGUGGGGAUCAAACAGG